CGCGCGCUGGCCGCUGACCGGCGUCACCGUGAUCCACCGUUACGGCCGUGUCGUGCCGGGUGACAAUAUCGUGCUGGUGCUGACUGCGUCGGUACAUCGCGAGGCGGCGUUUCAGGCCGCGGAAUUUCUGAUGGAUUAUCUCAAGACCAAUGCGCCGUUCUGGAAAUCCGAGGAACGCGCGGACAACAAAGUGUGGGUCGAUGCGCAGGCCCAUGACGACAAUGCAGCGGCGCGGUGGAAGAAGU
RNAcentral lists this unclassified non-coding RNA (245 nucleotides) under Hevea brasiliensis (rubber tree). The record is from RNAcentral. Lineage: Eukaryota; Viridiplantae; Streptophyta; Magnoliopsida; Malpighiales; Euphorbiaceae.